GACGAACGCUGGCGGCGUGCUUAACACAUGCAAGUCGAACGGUAAGGCUCCAGCUUGCUGGGGUACACGAGUGGCGAACGGGUGAGUAACACGUGGGUGACCUGCCCUGCACUUCGGGAUAAGCCUGGGAAACUGGGUCUAAUACCGGAUAGGACCGCACCGUGAGGGUGUGGUGGAAAGUUUUUUCGGUGUGGGAUGGGCCCGCGGCCUAUCAGCUUGUUGGUGGGGUAAUGGCCUACCAAGGCGGCGACGGGUAGCCGGCCUGAGAGGGUGGACGGCCACAUUGGGACUGAGACACGGCCCAGACUCCUACGGGAGGCAGCAGUGGGGAAUAUUGCACAAUGGGCGGAAGCCUGAUGCAGCGACGCCGCGUGGGGGAUGACGGCCUUCGGGUUGUAAACUCCUUUCACCAUCGACGAAGGGUUUCUGACGGUAGAUGGAGAAGAAGCACCGGCUAACUACGUGCCAGCAGCCGCGGUAAUACGUAGGGUGCGAGCGUUGUCCGGAAUUACUGGGCGUAAAGAGCUCGUAGGUGGUUUGUCGCGUCGUCUGUGAAAUUCCGGGGCUUAACUCCGGGCGUGCAGGCGAUACGGGCAUAACUUGAGUACUGUAGGGGAGACUGGAAUUCCUGGUGUAGCGGUGAAAUGCGCAGAUAUCAGGAGGAACACCGGUGGCGAAGGCGGGUCUCUGGGCAGUAACUGACGCUGAGGAGCGAAAGCAUGGGGAGCGAACAGGAUUAGAUACCCUGGUAGUCCAUGCCGUAAACGGUGGGCGCUAGGUGUGGGUUUCCUUCCACGGGAUCCGUGCCGUAGCUAACGCAUUAAGCGCCCCGCCUGGGGAGUACGGCCGCAAGGCUAAAACUCAAAGGAAUUGACGGGGGCCCGCACAAGCGGCGGAGCAUGUGGAUUAAUUCGAUGCAACGCGAAGAACCUUACCUGGGCUUGACAUAUACAGAAUCGCGCCAGAGAUGGUGUUCCCCUUGUGGCUUGUAUACAGGUGGUGCAUGGUUGUCGUCAGCUCGUGUCGUGAGAUGUUGGGUUAAGUCCCGCAACGAGCGCAACCCUUGUCUUAUGUUGCCAGCACGUUGUGGUGGGGACUCGUAAGAAACUGCCGGGGUUAACUCGGAGGAAGGUGGGGAUGACGUCAAAUCAUCAUGCCCCUUAUGUCCAGGGCUUCACACAUGCUACAAUGGUCGGUACAGUGGGUUGCCAGUCCGUGAGGGCGAGCUAAUCCCGCAAAGCCGGUCUCAGUUCGGAUCGGGGUCUGCAACUCGACCCCGUGAAGUCGGAGUCGCUAGUAAUCGCAGAUCAGCAACGCUGCGGUGAAUACGUUCCCGGGCCU
RNAcentral lists this ribosomal RNA (1341 nucleotides) under uncultured bacterium. Its description in RNAcentral is "partial 16S ribosomal RNA". It matches the Rfam family "Bacterial small subunit ribosomal RNA", at positions 28 to 1381 of the family's 1533-position model. The record is from RNAcentral.